UACGUAGGUGACAAGCGUUAUCCGGAUUUAUUGGGCGUAAAGCGCACGCAGGCGGUCUAUCAAGUCUGACGUGAAAUCUCUCGGCUUAACCUGGAGCGGUCGUUGGAAACUGAUGGACUUGAGGCGAUGAGAGGGGUGUGGAAUUCCCGGUGUAGUGGUGGAAUGCGUAGAUAUCGGGAGGAACAUCAGUGGCGAAAGCGGCACCCUGGCAUUAGCCUGACGCUCAUGUGCGAAAGCGUGGGGAGCGAACGGG
Molecule: ribosomal RNA, 253 nt
Filed under: uncultured bacterium
Lineage: Bacteria
Description: partial 16S ribosomal RNA
Rfam family: Bacterial small subunit ribosomal RNA
Source: RNAcentral